UUAGUGGAAGCGUCUGGAAAGGCGCGCGAUACAGGGUGACAGCCCCGUACACAAAAGCGCAUGUGCUGUGAGCUCGAUGAGUAGGGCGGGACACGUGGUAUCCUGUCUGAAUAUGGGGGGACCAUCCUCCAAGGCUAAAUACUCCUGACUGACCGAUAGUGAACCAGUACCGUGAGGGAAAGGCGAAAAGAACCCCGGCGAGGGGAGUGAAAAAGAACCUGAAACCGUGUACGUACAAGCAGUGGGAGCACAGGUUUACCUGUGUGACUGCGUACCUUUUGUAUAAUGGGUCAGCGACUUAUAUUCUGUAGCAAGGUUAACCGAAUAGGGGAGCCGGAGGGAAACCGAGUCUUAAUUGGGCGUUAAGUUGCAGGGUAUAGACCCGAAACCCGGUGAUCUAGCCAUGGGCAGGUUGAAGGUUGGGUAACACUAACUGGAGGACCGAACCGACUAAUGUUGAAAAAUUAGCGGAUGACCUGUGGCUGGGGGUGAAAGGCCAAUCAAACCGGGAGAUAGCUGGUUCUCCCCGAAAGCUAUUUAGGUAGCGCCUCGUGAAUUCAUCUCCGGGGGUAGAGCACUGUUUCGG
RNAcentral lists this ribosomal RNA (586 nucleotides) under Salmonella enterica. RNAcentral describes it as "partial 23S ribosomal RNA". It matches the Rfam family "Bacterial large subunit ribosomal RNA", at positions 329 to 918 of the family's 2925-position model. Lineage: Bacteria; Pseudomonadati; Pseudomonadota; Gammaproteobacteria; Enterobacterales; Enterobacteriaceae. The record is from RNAcentral.